Molecule: long non-coding RNA, 1256 nt
Organism: Notothenia coriiceps (black rockcod)
Lineage: Eukaryota; Metazoa; Chordata; Actinopteri; Perciformes; Nototheniidae
Exons: 4
Source: RefSeq, a predicted model, not a curated record
GGUCUAAACUAAUUAUUUCAAAAAGUGGGGGGGACUUGUCCCUCACUUAAUCCCUCAUAUAAUGGCUGCGACACCCAUGGAUCUAACGCUGCUCAGUGCCCUGAAGUCUCUGAAGACUGUUGGUGUGAUCACGCUGAUAUCAAACCUCAGAACCUCAUGCUGCUGAUGGAAAACAACUCAGAGUCAAAGUGAUUGACUUUGGUUCAGCCGUUGUAUCUGCUGAAGUCAAGCGUGGUGUCAUCAUGCAGCCUGCUUCGUACAGUUAUUAUGGGCCUUCCCAUCACAGAGGCAGUGGACAUCUGGUCUUUGGGUGGUGUUUUGGCAACCAUGUACCGACUGGCUUCCCUCCCUAAAAACACAGAGGGAGUUCAACCAGUGUCAGACGUCUGGAGGACCUGCAGAAGCUGAACCCAGCUUUACUCUACCAAUGAGCAAAGGUUCGUCCUCCUGCCUGAGAUGCUGCACCUGAAUCUUUGGAGGAGAACCACACCCAGUGACGCUCUGCUAGACCCAUUCAUAACUGGACUGGAUGCUGUUGACUCUCUGGUAGAGGAUUCAUCUGAGGAAGAUAACGGUUAUGUUGGUGGUGAUGGUGAUUCUCCUGCAGUGGACACAUCAGAGGGGGCUUCAUCCGACAUUAGCUCAAUAGACGUAGCCUGCGCUGCCACCGUGGAUUCUUUCGUGGGUGUAGAAAACGUAUAGCUGUUGUUUUCUCCAUUGAUGAGGCCUCAGUUGGUGCCCCUGUUUCUACAGAUGACACCAUGACAGUUGUUCCAAAGAAGGAGGUCUCAGCUCCCCGUUGCUUCACUGUCGAAAGCUUACUUGGUGGUGGAGACUCAAACAGAGCAACGACUGUUCUUUAUGACGCUGUUACAGAGGCACAGCCGCAGCUGAUAAAUCUGCUCCAGCCAUGACAAAAGCUGCACUCAAAAGUCCCUCCACUGGUGAAGGUUCUUCUCCACCCUCUACCGCUGACGCCCACAUCAGCUCUGGUGGAGUCUCAGCCAGAAACAGUCAGGGGAAAAGGAUCAGGAAGUUCUUCGUAAGGAUGUUCAGGGCCCUGAGCGGCUGUUGCUUUGCCAAUGUUGAGCAAUAAUUAGAUGUUAUCUGUUUUCUUUGUUCUUUUAUUUCAUUAUUAAAAGUUUUCUUCCAUGUGUAAUCUGGAGGAUAGUUUUUACCCAGGAGAUACUAUUAGUAGUGGAUUACUGUUACCUGCAACUACAUUAUUAGUAUUUUACUAUAUUUGUAAGUGCAAA